This 250-nucleotide long non-coding RNA is filed under the name Homo sapiens (human). RNAcentral describes it as "HSALNT0294119". Lineage: Eukaryota; Metazoa; Chordata; Mammalia; Primates; Hominidae. The record is from RNAcentral.
UCUGUAUUCAUUAUCCCUUCAAUAACUAUCAUGCCACAUAUUUCAAAAUGGCUCCACAGAAAAGAUGCCGAAGAAGACAGCUAAAACGUUCAUGGGUGAGGGUGGCAAGAAGGCUGAUGAUGCUGUUUUACACCUAGAGGUCUUAUGGAACCAGGACUGCAUUUGUACGCGGAACAAACAACUUUGGGGGAUGGUUUAGUAAUUGCCUUUGGUAGGGCUUGUCUCACAUUCAUUAAAAACUCCAGGCAAG